Molecule: ribosomal RNA, 465 nt
Filed under: Triticum aestivum (bread wheat)
Lineage: Eukaryota; Viridiplantae; Streptophyta; Magnoliopsida; Poales; Poaceae
Description: partial small subunit ribosomal RNA
Source: RNAcentral
AUGCUCCUCUUCUUCAAUGACAUCCUCAUGUUCAGUAAGACGCUGCGCGGCCACAUCAAUCAUAUGCGACAAGUACUGCAACUUUUGCGCCAAGAUCAAUCGCGUGUGAAGAUGUCCAAGUGUGAGUUCGGCCAGCAUAGCCUAUCGUACCUUGGGCACGUCAUCAGCAACCAGGGGGUGUCCACGGAACUAGCCAAGAUACGAGCUGUAUCCAACUGGACGAUACCAACUGACGUCAAAGCACUACGCAGCUUCUUGGGACUCGCCGAAUACUAUCGGCGAUUUGUCAGAAACUUUGAGAUCAUAGCUCGCCCUCUGUUCAACCUGCUGAAGAAAGGGGUGCCGUUUGUGUGGAAACCCGCUACAGAAACAGCCUUCCAACUGCUUAAGCAACAUCUGAUCGAAGCCCCGGUCCGGGGAUUGGGGCGAUACUGCAACAUGAUGGCCACUCGAUUGCAUAUAUGA